Molecule: RNA transcript, 1054 nt
Organism: Octodon degus (degu)
Lineage: Eukaryota; Metazoa; Chordata; Mammalia; Rodentia; Octodontidae
Gene name: tropomyosin alpha-3 chain pseudogene
Exons: 1
Source: RefSeq, a predicted model, not a curated record
GCACUAUGGCCGGGAUCACCACCAUUGAGGCGGUGAAGAGCAAGAUCCGGGUUCUUCAGCAGCAGGCCGAUGAUGCAGAGGAGAGGGCCGAACGCCUCCAGCGGGAAGUGGAGGGAAAAAGGUGGGCUCGGGAACAGGCUGAAGCAGAGGUAGCCUCCUUGAACCAUAGGAUCCAGCUGGUUGAAGAGGAGCUGGACCGUGCACAGGAGCGCCUGGCCACUGCCCUGCAAAAGCUAGAGGAAGCUGAGAAAGCUGCUGAUGAGAGUGAGAGAGGUAUGAAGGUCAUUGAAAACCGGACCCUAAAAGAUGAAGAAAAGAUGGAGCUCCAGGAAAUCCAGCUGAAAGAAGCUAAACACAUUGCCGAAGAGGCAGACAGGAAGUACGAAGAGGUGGCUCGUAAGUUGGUGAUCGUUGAAGGAGAUUUGGAACGCACAGAGGAACGAGCUGAGCUGGCAGAGUCCCGUUGCCGGGAGAUGGAUGAGCAGAUCAGAGUGAUGGACCAGAACCUGAAGUGUCUGAGUGCUGCUGAAGAAAAGUACUCGCAAAAAGAAGACAAAUAUGAGGAAGAAAUAAAGAUUCUUACUGAUAAACUCAAGGAGGCGGAGACCCGCGCUGAGUUUGCUGAGAGAUCAGUAGCCAAACUGGAAAAGACCAUUGAUGACUUGGAAGAUAAGCUGAAAUGCACCAAAGAGGAGCACCUCUGUACACAAAGGAUGCUGGACCAGACUCUGCUUGACCUGAAUGAGAUGUAGAGCUCCCCCAGCCUGCCCUGCCGCUGCUCCUCCCUUUGACCCAACACACCACCUGAGGCCAGCCUGCCCGGAGCUGACCUCAAAACUGAGGGCUGAUCUUUAACUGGAAGGCUGCUUUCUCCUUUCUAUAUCCUCUCCCCACUCCCUACCCCCACCUCCUUGUCUUUUUCAUCAAACUGUCUCUGCCUCUUCCCAGAGAUUCCAGCUGGGCUAGAGGCUGAGCACCUUUGGGAACAACAUUUAAGGGAAUGUGAGCACAAUGCAAAGUGUCUUUAAAAGCAUGUUGUGAUGUACACAUUUGU